Molecule: ribosomal RNA, 441 nt
Filed under: uncultured bacterium
Lineage: Bacteria
Description: bacterial SSU rRNA
Rfam family: Bacterial small subunit ribosomal RNA
Source: RNAcentral
GAAGAAGACACCGGCGUAACUACGUGCCACGCAGCCGCGGUAGUACGUAGGGUGCGAGGCGUUAAUCGGAAUUACUGGGCGUAAAGCGUGCGCAGGCGGUUCCAUAAGACAGAUGUGAAAUCCCCGGGCUUAACCUGGGAACUGCGUUUGUGACUGUGGGACUCGAGUGUGGCAGAGGGGGGUGGAAUUCCACGUGUAGCAGUGAAAUGCGUAGAGAUGUGGAGGAACACCGAUGGCGAAGGCAGCCCCCUGGGUCAACACUGACGCUCAUGCACGAAAGCGUGGGGAGCAAACAGGAUUAGAUACCCUGGUAGUCCACGCCCUAAACGAUGCGAACUAGGUGUUGGGGAAGGAGACUUUCUUAGUACCGCAGCUAACGCGUGAAGUUCGCCGCCUGGGGAGUACGGUCGCAAGAUUAAAACUCAAAGGAAUUGACGGGGG